UACGAAGAAGUUUCCCUAUGUGCUUGUAGGUGACGAAGCAUUUCCACUCAAAACGUAUUUUUCAGACCAUUUCCAGAGCAAAAUCUACCAGUAAACCAAGCAAUCUUUAACUAUCGUUUGAGUAGAGCCAGAAGAAUAAUUGAAAAUUCAUUUGGUAUUUUAGCAGCAAAUGGAGGCUAUUUAGAAAAC
Molecule: long non-coding RNA, 189 nt
Organism: Amphimedon queenslandica
Lineage: Eukaryota; Metazoa; Porifera; Demospongiae; Haplosclerida; Niphatidae
Exons: 3
Source: RefSeq, a predicted model, not a curated record